GACGAACGCUGGCGGCGUGCUUAACACAUGCAAGUCGAACGGAAAGGCCCUGCUUUUGUGGGGUGCUCGAGUGGCGAACGGGUGAGUAACACGUGAGUAACCUGCCCUUGACUUUGGGAUAACUUCAGGCAACUGGGGCUAAUACCGGAUAGGAGCUCCUGCUGCAUGGUGGGGGUUGGAAAGUUUCGGCGGUUGGGGAUGGACUCGCGGCUUAUCAGCUUGUUGGUGGGGUAGUGGCUUACCAAGGCUUUGACGGGUAGCCGGCCUGAGAGGGUGACCGGCCACAUUGGGACUGAAAUGCGGCCCAGACUCCUACGGGAGGCAGCAGUGGAGAAUGUUGCACAAUGGGCUGAAGCCUAAUGUAGUAACGCCGCGUGCGGGAUGACGGCCUUCGGGUUGUAAACCACUUUCGCCUGUCACGAGGCGUGAAUGACGGUAAUGGGUAAAGAAGCACCGGCUAACUACGUG
Molecule: ribosomal RNA, 468 nt
Filed under: uncultured bacterium
Lineage: Bacteria
Description: partial 16S ribosomal RNA
Rfam family: Bacterial small subunit ribosomal RNA
Source: RNAcentral